RNAcentral lists this transfer RNA (73 nucleotides) under Mustela putorius furo (domestic ferret). It matches the Rfam family "tRNA". From Rfam's summary of the family: Transfer RNA (tRNA) molecules are approximately 80 nucleotides in length. Their secondary structure includes four short double-helical elements and three loops (D, anti-codon, and T loops). Further hydrogen bonds mediate the characteristic L-shaped molecular structure. tRNAs have two regions of fundamental functional importance: the anti-codon, which is responsible for specific mRNA codon recognition, and the 3' end, to which the tRNAs corresponding amino acid is attached (by aminoacyl-tRNA synthetases). tRNAs cope with the degeneracy of the genetic code in two manners: having more than one tRNA (with a specific anti-codon) for a particular amino acid; and 'wobble' base-pairing, i.e. permitting non-standard base-pairing at the 3rd anti-codon position. The record is from Rfam by way of RNAcentral. Lineage: Eukaryota; Metazoa; Chordata; Mammalia; Carnivora; Mustelidae.
ACCUGGCUGGCUCAGUGGGUAGAGCAUGUGACUCUCAAUCUCAGGGUGGUGAGUUUGAACCCCACAUUGGGUA